This 531-nucleotide unclassified non-coding RNA is filed under the name Hevea brasiliensis (rubber tree). Lineage: Eukaryota; Viridiplantae; Streptophyta; Magnoliopsida; Malpighiales; Euphorbiaceae. The record is from RNAcentral.
GCAGCUUUUACCAAUUUCUUAGCUGGAAGAUGUUUCAACAGCUCUAAAAUUUGUAAUGUGCAUUCCUACAUGUUGAUUGAUUAAUUAUGAUAGAAGUUGAGGCAAGUUUGCCAUAUCAGACUAUGCUUCGACUUUAUGAUUCUAAUUAUCAGCAAUUUCCCAUUUCUUUAUCGGUUUUGGUACACUUGCUUUCAUUGGUUUAGAAAUUAGUUGGAGAGGAAAAGUGGAGUGGUGUUCGGGCAUUUUGCCUUGACCUAGCGUUGCAGUUUUUUCACAUUUAGAUGGUGAUAAUGGUAAGUAUCUUGCUUACUGUGCUAAAAUGACAGAACUAACCUUGAAUGUCUGAUGUACUCAUUAAGUCAGAACAAAAAAGCCUUUACAUUCCCACGCCCAGUACCUGUCAAAGAUUCUAUUUUCAUCUCUUAUCCUUGUUAGAGGACUAUUUCCCGCCAAAAAAAAGCUUCUUACCCUGUUUUUCAUUACAGUCCCUCUUUUUACUGCCUCUAAUUCCACCUCUGGAACAGCACUUGA